GGUUAAGUUAGAAAGGGCGCACGGUGAAUGCCUUGGCACUAGGAGCCGAUGAAGGACGGGACUAACACCGAUAUGCUUCGGGGAGCUGUAAGUGAGCUUUGAUCCGGAGAUUUCCGAAUGGGGAAACCCACUGUUCGUAAUGGAACAGUAUCUUUAUCUGAAUACAUAGGAUAUUGAAGGCAGACCCGGGGAACUGAAACAUCUAAGUACCCGGAGGAAGAGAAAGCAAAUGCGAUUUCCUGAGUAGCGGCGAGCGAAACGGAAUUAGCCCAAACCAAGAGGCUUGCCUCUUGGGGUUGUAGGACACUCUAUACGGAGUUACAAAGGAACGAAGUAAAUGAAGCGACCUGGAAAGGUCCGUCGAAGAAGGUAACAACCCUGUAGUUGAAACUUCGUUCCCUCUUGAGUGGAUCCUGAGUACGGCGGAACACGUGAAAUUCCGUCGGAAGCUGGGAGGACCAUCUCCCAAGGCUAAAUACUACCUAGUGACCGAUAGUGAACCAGUACCGUGAGGGAAAGGUGAAAAGCACCCCGGAAGGGGAGUGAAAGAGAUCCUGAAACCGUGUGCCUACAAGUAGUCAGAGCCCGUUAACGGGUGAUGGCGUGCCUUUUGUAGAAUGAACCGGCGAGUUACGAUCCCAUGCAAGGUUAAGCUGAUAAGGCGGAGCCGUAGCGAAAGCGAGUCUGAAUAGGGCGUUUAGUAUGUGGUUGUAGACCCGAAACCAGGUGAUCUACCCAUGUCCAGGGUGAAGUUCAGGUAACACUGAAUGGAGGCCCGAACCCACGCACGUUGAAAAGUGCGGGGAUGAGGUGUGGGUAGCGGAGAAAUUCCAAUCGAACCUGGAGAUAGCUGGUUCUCUCCGAAAUAGCUUUAGGGCUAGCCUCAUGUUGUGAGAGUCUUGGAGGUAGAGCACUGAUUGGACUAGGGGCCCCCAACGGGUUACCGAAUUCAGUCAAACUCCGAAUGCCAAAGACUUAUCCAUGGGAGUCAGACUGCGAGUGAUAAGAUCCGUAGUCAAAAGGGAAACAGCCCAGACCACCAGCUAAGGUCCCCAAGUAUACGUUAAGUGGAAAAGGAUGUGGAGUUGCUUAGACAACCAGGAUGUUGGCUUAGAAGCAGCCACCAUUUAAAGAGUGCGUAAUAGCUCACUGGUCGAGUGACUCUGCGCCGAAAAUGUACCGGGGCUAAACGUAUCACCGAAGCUGUGGAUUGACAUCUUAGAUGUCAGUGGUAGGAGAGCGUUCUAAGUGCAGCGAAGUCAGACCGUAAGGACUGGUGGAGCGCUUAGAAGUGAGAAUGCCGGUAUGAGUAGCGAAAGACAAGUGAGAAUCUUGUCCACCGAAUGCCUAAGGUUUCCUGAGGAAGGCUCGUCCGCUCAGGGUUAGUCGGGACCUAAGCCGAGGCUGAAAAGCGUAGGCGAUGGCCAACAGGUUGAUAUUCCUGUACCACCUCCCCGCCGUUUGAGUAAUGGGGGGACGCAGUAGGAUAGGGUAAGCGCGCUGCUGGAUAUGCGCGUUCAAGCAGUUAGGCUGAUGAGUAGGCAAAUCCGCUCAUCAUAAAGGCUGAGCUGUGAUGACGAGGGAAUUAUAGUACCGAAGUUCCUGAUUCCACACUGCCAAGAAAAGCCUCUAGCGAGGCGGGAGGUGCCCGUACCGCAAACCGACACAGGUAGGCGAGGAGAGAAUCCUAAGGUGAUCGAGAGAACUCUCGUUAAGGAACUCGGCAAAAUGACCCCGUAACUUCGGGAGAAGGGGUGCUCUGGUAGGGUGUAUAGCCCGAGAGAGCCGCAGUGAAUAGGCCCAGGCGACUGUUUAGCAAAAACACAGGUCUCUGCGAAGCCGCAAGGCGAAGUAUAGGGGCUGACGCCUGCCCGGUGCUGGAAGGUUAAGAGGAGGGGUUAUCCUUUGGGAGAAGCUCUGAAUCGAAGCCCCAGUAAACGGCGGCCGUAACUAUAACGGUCCUAAGGUAGCGAAAUUCCUUGUCGGGUAAGUUCCGACCCGCACGAAAGGCGUAACGAUCUGGGCACUGUCUCAACGAGAGACUCGGUGAAAUUAUAGUACCUGUGAAGAUGCAGGUUACCCGCGACAGGACGGAAAGACCCCGUGGAGCUUUACUGUAGCCUGAUAUUGAAUUUUGGUACAGCUUGUACAGGAUAGGUAGGAGCCUGAGAAGCCGGAGCGCUAGCUUCGGUGGAGGCGUCGGUGGGAUACUACCCUGGCUGUAUUGAAAUUCUAACCCGCGGCCCUGAUCGGGCCGGGAGACAGUGUCAGGUGGGCAGUUUGACUGGGGCGGUCGCCUCCUAAAAUGUAACGGAGGCGCCCAAAGGUUCCCUCAGAAUGGUUGGAAAUCAUUCGUAGAGUGUAAAGGCACAAGGGAGCUUGACUGCGAGACCUACAAGUCGAGCAGGGACGAAAGUCGGGCUUAGUGAUCCGGUGGUUCCGCAUGGAAGGGCCAUCGCUCAACGGAUAAAAGCUACCCCGGGGAUAACAGGCUUAUCUCCCCCAAGAGUCCACAUCGACGGGGAGGUUUGGCACCUCGAUGUCGGCUCAUCGCAUCCUGGGGCUGUAGUCGGUCCCAAGGGUUGGGCUGUUCGCCCAUUAAAGCGGUACGCGAGCUGGGUUCAGAACGUCGUGAGACAGUUCGGUCCCUAUCCGUCGUGGGCGUAGGAAAUUUGAGAGGAGCUGUCCUUAGUACGAGAGGACCGGGAUGGACACACCGCUGGUGUACCAGUUGUCUUGCCAAAGGCAUCGCUGGGUAGCUAUGUGUGGACGGGAUAAGUGCUGAAAGCAUCUAAGCAUGAAGCCCCCUCAAGAUGAGAUUUCCCAUAGCGCAAGCUAGUAAGAUCCCUGAAAGAUGAUCAGGUUGAUAGGUCAGAGGUGGAAGCGUGGCGACAUGUGUAGCUGACUGAUACUAAUCGAUCGAGGACUUAACCAA
Molecule: ribosomal RNA, 2935 nt
Filed under: Priestia megaterium
Lineage: Bacteria; Bacillati; Bacillota; Bacilli; Caryophanales; Bacillaceae
Description: 23S ribosomal RNA
Rfam family: Bacterial large subunit ribosomal RNA
Source: RNAcentral